RNAcentral lists this long non-coding RNA (983 nucleotides) under Arabidopsis thaliana (thale cress). RNAcentral describes it as "long non-coding RNA (ATHA_LNC000585)". The record is from RNAcentral. Lineage: Eukaryota; Viridiplantae; Streptophyta; Magnoliopsida; Brassicales; Brassicaceae.
GAGAAGUCAAGAAACACAUUGUAUUUGUUCAUACAAUCCAUUAACCAAUUUUUGAUAUAUUGAACUCAUUAAGAUUUAAGAAAAGGGAUAUUUUGAAGUAAACUGUUGACUAAUAAGAAGAGACUUUCAAUCAAUUUUCCCGGUUAUACACAAGCACAUGCAUAGACCAUUUUUGCAUAAUUACGAACUUAGAACAAUCUAUUAUAUGAAUGAUACUUCAAAAGAUAUACAAUUAACGAAGAACUUGUAUGGAUAAAUAUAUAUAUAUAUAUAUAUCCCAACAAAAAUAUUGAAACUACACGUUUCCAUGCACCGAUGCACGAGUAAGAUUAAAGUCAACCGCCAAAAUCACCACCGUAACCGCUGCCAAGACAGGCGAUGCUUUCCUUGCCAUCCUUCUUAGCUUUGUGGUAGAGAAAGUGAAUGAGCCACAAGAUGAACAAAAACAUGAGAAAUGCCCCAAACACUAUGAACAGAAUGGCCACAGGACUCAUUUGACUAACUUCUUUUUGAUUGUUAAUUUUGUUUUUCACUCCUCCGAUAAGGAAACAACAAGAUGUAUAUAUAUAGAGAGAUUGAUGACAUUUAUUAUGAAAGUCUCGUUGUCUUAAUAUUUAAGUCAUCUUGUUAACCAUUGACUUUUGUGUUAGGUUUUAUCUGAAUUUCAAACGGAAUAUUCGGAUAUUAAUGUAGUCGUUACUUUUGGCUUUUUCUUCAAGCCCAAAUGGAGAUGAAAUUUAGAAUUUUUAUUUCGAAAAGAUUAUUGAACCGAAAAUUAUGUUCGUCAGGUGUCGGAUUAAUCAUGACCCUAGUAUUUGUUUCCUGUUAAUAGAUAGAUAGCACAAUACACUCUUUGUUUUAUUUUAUGUUUUCGUAGAGAUAUUAAAUAUGUUUUCGAAAAAACAUACAUAUAGACAGUAAUCAUGAGACCAAGUCAUACCUGGAUUAGUGUAUUACAAUCAAUUAGUACAAGUCAUGUUUUU